CCUACGGGGGGCAGCAGUAGGGAAUUUUCGUCAAUGGGCGCAAGCCUGAACGAGCAAUGCCGCGUGAACGAGGAAGGUCUUCGGAUCGUAAAGUUCUGUUGACGGGGAAAAAGAGCGGAGCGAGGAAAUGAACUCCGAUUGAUAUUACCCUUCGAGGAAGUCACGGCUAACUACGUGCCAGCAGCCGCGGUAAUACGUAGGUGGCGAGCGUUAUCCGGAAUGAUUGGGCGUAAAGGGUGCGUAGGCGGCCUGCUAAGUCUGGAGUGAAAGGUACCGGCUCAACCGGUACAGGCUCUGGAAACUGGCGGGCUAGAGAGUAGGAGAGGGCGGUGGAACUCCAUGUGUAGCGGUAAAAUGCGUAGAUAUAUGGAAGAACACCAGUGGCGAAGGCGGCCGCCUGGCCUGUGACUGACGCUGAGGCACGAAAGCGUGGGGAGCAAAUAGGAUUAGAUACCCCUGUAGUC
This 464-nucleotide ribosomal RNA is filed under the name uncultured bacterium. RNAcentral's name for it is "partial 16S ribosomal RNA". It matches the Rfam family "Bacterial small subunit ribosomal RNA", at positions 338 to 795 of the family's 1533-position model. The record is from RNAcentral.